UUAGAUUUUUUUUGAAAAUCACACGACUUUGGAUCGAGUAUUUGUUUUUGUUCUUUUUCUGAAAAGGGUUGAUUUUAAUCUUUGAAUUAACAAUCAACUGAUACAAUAAAGUAAAUGAAAGCGUAAAUUUAUUACACAUUUACAGGAAUGGGGGUACAGUUUAUCGAAUGGGGAUACAACACAAUAAUGAAAUAAUACGAGCUUUGAAAGACAGUUGUA
This 219-nucleotide long non-coding RNA is filed under the name Lathyrus oleraceus (garden pea). Its description in RNAcentral is "Pisum sativum (pea) long non-coding RNA (PSAT_LNC003740)". The record is from RNAcentral. Lineage: Eukaryota; Viridiplantae; Streptophyta; Magnoliopsida; Fabales; Fabaceae.